CUACUUACCUGGCAGGGGAGAUACCAUGAUCACGAAGGUGGUUUUCCCAGAGCGAGGCUUAUCCAUUGCACUCUGGAUGUGCUGACCCCUGCGAUUUCCCUAAAUUUGGGAAACUCGACUGCAUGAUUUGUGGUAGCGGGGAACUGCAUUUAUGCUCUCCCCUG
Mastomys coucha (southern multimammate mouse) is the source of this 164-nucleotide small nuclear RNA. RefSeq annotates it as U1 spliceosomal RNA. The record is from RefSeq and is a predicted model, not a curated record. The transcript has a single exon. NCBI's taxonomy places the organism in Eukaryota, Metazoa, Chordata, Mammalia, Rodentia, Muridae.